This 20695-nucleotide long non-coding RNA is filed under the name Octopus vulgaris (common octopus). The record is from RNAcentral. Lineage: Eukaryota; Metazoa; Mollusca; Cephalopoda; Octopoda; Octopodidae.
AAAGCCGGAAUCAGACGUCAACAAUUUUCAGUUACGAUCCCAAAGCGAGAAGCUCACACUUAUAAACUCCAGCUUACAUCAACUUCAGAUUUAUCAUUAAACCAAAACGAAAUAACAGGCUGCACGGACGACCGAAAACCGCAAUGGAAAUCGCUAAGGUGUGGCGCGUCAUUUCGCAGCGGUUUUCCGUUUCUUCUUUCAUAACCUUUGGACUGUUUCUCGUGUUGACCAUCACGAUUCUUCAUUUCGAUGCAAGGACCAGAAAGAUAGAAGAGAAAUCAACCGCAGUAAGUACAGGACACCUGAAGUUUCUAUAAUUUAGAUGCAAGAAAUGUAUACGUAUAUCCAUCCAUCCAUCCAUCCAUCCAUCCAUCCAUCCAUCCAUCAUUCCAUAAAUCCAUCUAUCAAUCCAUCCAUCCAUCCAUCCAUCCAUCCAUCCAUCCAUCCAUCCAUCCAUCCAUCAAUUAAUCCAUAGACAGACGUAUAUAUAUAUGUAUGGUUUUAUAUAUUUAUAUAUAACUGUAUAUAUGUGUAUAUGUAUUUAGGCAUAUAUAUAUAUAUAUUUUUAUACAUACACAUACACACAAACAAACACAUUAUCUUUACACAUUCCAUUUUCUCUCUCCGGUUCUUCUCAAUCUCUCUCCCUUUUUAUCCUUUUAAUCCUUUUUAUCCCGUUAAUCCUUUCUGUCGCAGAGCGUGCGGUCGAAAGACAAAAACUCUUCCAUUCUACCCGAGGGUUGAACUUAAUGCACUUGCUUGUGGUUUGUACAACUGUCCUUGACUUUUGUUUUCUGUAAAUUUGAAAUCUAUCUAUCAAUCAAUCAAUCUAUCUAUCUAUCUAUCUAUCUAUCUAUCUAUCUAUCUAUCUAUCUAUCUAUCUAUCUAUCUAUCUAUCUAUCUAUCUAUCUAUCUAUCUAUCUAUCAAUCAAUCUAUCUAUCUAUCUAUCUAUCUAUCUAUCUAUCUAUCUAUCUAUCUAUCUAUCUAUCUAUCUAUCUAUCUAUCAAUCAAUCAAUCUAUCUAUCUAUCUAUCUAUCUAUCUAUCUAUCUAUCUAUCUUUCUAUCUAUCUAUCUAUCUAUCUAUCUAUCUAUCUAUCUAUCUAUCUAUCUAUCUAUCUAUCAAUCUAUCUAUCUAUCUAUCUAUCUAUCUAUUUAACUAUGAACGCAUUCUUUCAGCUUCCGUUUACCAAAUCUACUCAGAUCACAUUCGUUGGUCUGCGACUAUAGUAGAAGACUUCCAUUUAGAACAGAAGAUUCUUACCGUGCAGCCAGGCCUGCACCUACAGUAAUCAAUCCCAUGCCGGCAAUCGAACCCUGACCGACUGAACAAUAGCUAGGAAUUAUAUGUGUGUAUAUAUGACAUAUACACACAUAAUUGUUAUAUAUUUCAGCCAGUAUAGGCCCAGGCUAUGUAUAACUUAAUAGCACCAACUGGUGAAGCAGUUUAGAAUCUGAUUCCCAUCUCAGUCAUAAGACUUUUCAAUGUUGGAGACAGAUCCGGGUGUUGGAGGAUGGUCGGAGAUUUUUCAGGGGGAAAAUUUUUCCUGAGAAAUUUUGAAUUUUAUGGAAUCUGUUUUCGGCUUAAUGUAUUCUGCUUUAAUAUUACAAAGAGCUGGACCGGUUGAGGUAAAGUAUUCGUGUCAUAUACACGUAUACAUACAUACAUACAUAUAUAUAUUAUAUAUAUGCAUAUAUAUAUAUAAAUAUAUUAUAUAUAUGUAUGUAUAUAUAUAUAUAUAUAUAUUAAUAAUAAUAAUAUUAGGGAAUAAAUCCAAACUAAUAGGGAAAGGUUAGAUUUAGGAUUAAAUCCAAUUUUAUAGUAUAAAUAUAUUAUAUUAUAUUAUAUUAAAUAUAAAAAUAUACAUAUAUAUAUAUAUAUAUGUAUAUAUAUUUUUGUAUAUAUAUAUUUAAAAUAUAUAAGUUUAAAUUAUUUAAAUAAUUUGUUAAUUUUUAACUUUUAUAUUUUUUAAUUAAUUUUAUGUAUUGGCUUAUAUUUUUCAAUGUUUGAUUUGCCUAAUAGUGGUUUUAUCUGUAAUUUAAUAUAAUAUAUAUAUAUAUAUAUAUAUAUAUAUAUAUAAUAUUUAUAUAUGCAUAUAUAUAUAUAUAUUAAUAUAUAUAUAUAUGUAUAUAUAUAUAUAUAUAUAUAUAUAUAUAUAUAUAUAUAUAUAUAUAUAUAUAUAUAUAUAUAUAUAUAUAUAUAUAUAUAUAUAUAUAUAUAUAUAUAUAUAUAUAUAUAUAUAUAUAUAUACAUAUUUAUAUAUAUAUAUGUAUAAAUACAUAUAUAUAAAAAUUUGUGUCGUGCAUAUUUCUACUAAGAUAUUAAUGGAUGGAUGAUUCUUAACGUGUUUAGAGAGAUAGAUAGAUAGAUUGAACAAUCGAUCGUUUGAUAAAUAGAUAUAUUGGUAGAUAUGUAGACAGACUGACUGAACGUUUGAUAGAUAGAUAGAUAGAUAGAAAGAGAAAGAUAUAUACAGAUAGAUAGAUAGAUCGAUAGAUAGAUAGAUCGAUAGAUACAUAGAAAGAUCGAUUGAUUGGAUAGUUUCAUUCACUCGUGGUUAUAAAUGUCAGGAAGUUGUAGUUCGAUUCCUUACAGGCCAGUGAUGAACAGGUUCUGAAUUCAUGGACCUGGAAAGGAUAAAGACUAGGCGCGACUACGCGGAAUUUGAUCAUUAUCUUGAAAUAUUCAGUAUUGUAGAUGACAAUUAUAAAAGCCCCCAGAAAGGUUGUGCGAUAGAUAGUGUUGCAAAAUAGAAAGCAAUGAAUUUGUCAAUUACUAUACGUAGCAAAGACAUAGGAUUAGAAAAAUGUAAGUUAGUUUACAAGUCAAUAAUGAAUUGUGUUCCAUGUUGUAAGAUAGAGAUUGACAUUUCUUGCUGAAAUAUUUUACAUAGAAAGGCCUUAUAUAUGUACGUCUGCCGCUUUCGUGUGCAUACAUAAAUGAACAUGUAUGAAUGCAUCGCUUCAUGUGUAUAUUCGAAUGUGCGAACACACACACACACACACACACACACACACGUGUGUGUGUGUGUGUGUAUUUACUUCUGGAUGUAUUUUUCCUCCUGAGAUUCAGCUCAGAGCUGCAUCCAUGCUGAUGCACCAUCCAUCCAUCCAUCCAUCCACACAUACAUACAUACAUACAUACAUACAUACAUACAUACAUACAUACAUACAUACAUACAUACAUAGAUGUACCCAUACAGACACACAGACACAAUGACACACGCAUACACAGACAGAGACGCACAGAAAUAUAGAUACAUACACUAUGGUCUGUGUUUUCGGAUGAAGUUUUCGUGCUUAAUUGCCGAAGAAUUCCUUGGAUGAUUUGUUCCCAGAGCUCCCUCCGUCAAAUUAAUGAACAGGUCCAGAAAUGUGCCAUACGAUCAGUUGUCGAUAUAUUUGCAGUGCAAUAUCAAUAGUUUUGUUCAAGAACACAACGCCCCGCCUUCUGUUUGAACCGAACGUACAACCCUUUGUUCGUGAGUUUAAACCUGAAGCACUAAACCUCGUUGAAAUAUUUUAGCGUAUAUAAAUAUAUGCAUCUAUCCCUAUCAGACAGACUUACAUAAACGAACAAACACGCAUUCACAUGCAGAAAGAUACACACAAACGCAUAUAUAUCGGAUUGUUGGACCGCUGAAUUCCUACAGAUCUUUUUCCGUGAAAAUAAAUAUCUUUUCCAUUGAAAGAAAAAUAAAAGUCUCCAAAACCGUGUAUCUCUCACUAUACGUUAACAUGCACGAAGAAUGUAGCAAAUACAUUUGGGAAAACGGUUGUUCCAGUUUGUAAAUUUACAAGUAGAAGGGUAGAUAUCCCAGUAUUCAUUGAUUUCGCUUCCUGUGUCGAAUUGACACCCAAAGCUCAUCAGCAAGUCUUAUUACGUAAACUAUUUUUAAAAAUGUAUUUAACUUUCCGUGCUCGUUUGUUCAGCUGAAGGCACCGUCACAUCCGAACGAACAUUAGCGAGCAAGUAUAUAUUCUAUAUUCAAACAAGUUAUCAUUAUCUUUAAAAAAUAAUGAUAAAAUGGCCAACGAACAUAAUGCAAAUAUGAAAAAUAUAUAUGAAAAUUCAGGGUACAGUAAGUAACUAUUUACUUAAAAGAAGAAUAAAAUUCCUAAACCACGCAUCUCUCAAUAUAUAUAAACACGCACGAAGAAUGGUGCAAAUACUUUAAGAAUUUCCAUUUUAUGUUUGUUUGUCAUUGUUGAUUUCGGAAGUCGGGGGCCUUCAACUGAAUAAAGGUACACGGAAAGGUAAAUAUAUUUUUAAAAGUAGGUUACGUAGAAAGCGAAAUGAAUUGGUUCUGGGAUAUCUACCCACCUGUUUGUAGAUUUACAAACUGGAAGAUUAGUUUUUCUAAAUGAAUUUGCAACAUUCCCCGUGCGUGUUUUCGUUCGUUAGGCUUAAUUAACUCUCAUGGUGAUGGGUUUGCUUUUGACAUAUAAAAGCAUGAAAUAAAGGAGUACCCGAUGAACAGAGGAGGUAAGAAAGCGGUAAGCCACCAAAAUGUAACGCAACGAUGAAAAUUUGGUGGAAUCAUCAAUGAAAUUGUCUCCUACAUCUUCAAAAGAAGCUGUCCAAAAGUGCCAUUAUUGUAUUGCUUAGCUUUAAAUUCUAAACAUUGAUGAAUUUUCAGAAAAUCUACUUCUAUGAUGUUAUUUCUAUUUUUUCAUAGAACCGUUUUCUUUUCAAGAAAUCUCUGGAUGACAAAGCUGUUCACACGCCAAGUAAGAACUAAUUUUAUAUCGUGCAAGAUAAAAGCGUAAAAGAAAUGUCCGUGUUCGGAUUAAAUAUUAUAAAAUAUUCUGUUUCAAUCUCUGUUAGCUAAAUUCAUUUAAAUGUGUCUCCUCACCUACUAGCUUCUAAUUCUUUUCGGGUUCCAUUCGUUUUUCAUUUUUUACAUAAUCUGCUCAACGAAAUACACAACUUUAAAUUGCAUGCUUAGAUAAAUUUGGAAAUGUGACCCUCUGAUGCUAUGAUAUUAACUAUGUUUAUAUGAGUUUAUAUGCAGGACCACGUCAAUAAAUGAAAGCAAUUUUGUGUACAUGUAAGUCUAUAAUCUGGAAAAAAGUAUGUAAGAAAUAUUUUCAUUUCAGAUCUAAUGUUAGUGUAAGCAAUAAGAAAUUGUAGGGUUUACCCUAUGUUGUAGUAAGAAACCGAAUCAAUAAAACCAUCCACAUAUUGUUGUUGCUCAGUAAUUCUGCGAGUCUGGUGGUUGUAGAGAAACCAGGCACCUGUCUUCGAGGGCCAUUCCAGAAGGAAGCAAUUGUUAUUAAGAUUACCGGUUUAGUUGACAAGCGUAACCAAUCCGAGCGGAUGGGUACUAUCUACCCAUCUCUUUUCGGGUCUAUCCCCAGAUCCCUCGCCGGCUGAUCCAGAUUGAAGAGUUUGUAUUGUGAUUCUUUUCUGUGAGAUUGAAAUCGCAUGUCCUUAGUACUUGAGCUGUCAUCUCUCAAUGCAGAGAACCAGAAGUUCGAACUGGAGACAUUUGCUGAUCUCUGAUUAACCAUCGCAGUCGAAUUAACGUUGCUCAAGAGAUCCCUUGCAAUUCGCAUAAUUUCGGUCGUAGUAUUUCAGUCACGAAAUUUUAAUUUCAACACCAAUAGUUAAUGUCUUUUACCUUCGUGUUCCGUAGUGUUUCUGGUUUAGUGUUCUGUACAUUUGCAGGUCCUAUACUUAAGAAUAUUAUAGAAAUAUUUUUAAAGGCAACACUUCUUUCAUUAUAAUUAAUGAUAUUCACCUUUCUAAUUAAAAAAAAUGAUAUUAUACUAAAUAGCUUUUAAAUACAGAUGUUUUACAAAUGUUAAAUUCUCUUUGCACCUAAAAUUAAAAAUCAAUUAAUAGCAGCAUAUCUGUUACAAAUAAAUACAUUUCUACAGAAUUUUUAUUUUGAAAUAAUGUUAUAUUCUUGUUGUAAUGAGUGAAAUUUAUAUUUUAAUAUGACAUUUAUAUGUUUUUGUUCUAAUGCAUAAAAACAUAUAAAAAUAUGUAAUCGCAAAAAUAUAUUAUAUAACUGUUUAAUAUUUUUAGAGGUUUUUUUUCCAACGCAUUUGUCUCACUGAAAGAUUUCAUUUCUCUUCAAAUAAUACAUUUCUUCUCUCUAAAAUGAAUCAAUAUUUAAAUUCUUAUCAAAAAAUUAUUACCAAAACCCUUUCGUUACUUAAAGCCACAUAGCUGAAUUUGUAGCAAAUAUCUUUUGACAAAGCUUUCACCAUUAGAUUCGUUUCAUAGAGCUCUUUAACCGGCAAAGCGGAGAAAGAAGCGGCUUGCAGCGGCCACAGAAAAUCCGUUUACGCGCUAACUAGAAUAAAGUGAUCAUUGAAAUCAGAUGAUGCAUUUCAUAACACUAAAAAUCUUAGAAUGACAAAAAUAUUGUAAUUUUUUUACACUGAUUUCACGUAUUUUGAUCUAGUCUUUUAUUUAAUACACCAAACAUGAAUUACUUUAUCUUAAAAUUUAGCUCAAGACUCGAUCAUUAUUUCUAAAAAACCGCAUUGAAUUCGGCUGAGAAGUGAAUUAGUGAUGAAUCAUGCAAAUCUUUACGAGAAUCAGUUUCGUGUUCAUAGUAAAAAGAAUUUUCAAACACUACCUUUUCUUUCUUUCUUUCUUUCUUUCUUUCUUUCUUUCUUUCUUUCUUUCUUUCUUUCUUUCUUUCUUUCUUUCUUUCUUUCUUUAUUUCUUUCUUUCUUUCUUUCUUUCUUUCUUUCUUUCUUUCUUUCCUUCCUUUCUUCCUUUCACCUUUCUUCCUUCCUUCCUUCUUUACUUACUUCAUACCUUCCUUCCUUUCUUUCGUUCAUUCUUUCUUUCUUUCUUAUCUCUUAAAUCCUUUAUCAAUUCCCCAACUAGCCUUCCUUCCUUCCUACCUAUCUUCCUUCCUUCCUUCCUUCUUUCCUUCCUUCCUUUCUUCCCACCUUUCCUUCCUUCCUACCUUCAGUCCUUUCUUUCUCCCACACCUUCCUUCCUUGCUUCCUCCCACCUCUUCCUUCCUUCCUUCCUCCCACCUCUUCCUUCCUUCCUCCUACCUCUUUCUUCCUUUCAUCGUUCCUUCCUUCCUCCUUCCUUCCUUCCUUCUUGCCUUCCUUCCUUCGUUCCACCCCUUCCUUCCUUCCUUCCUUCCUUCCUUCCUUCCUUCCUUCCUUCCUUCCCCAUUUCUUUCUUUCUUUCUUUCUUUCUUUCCUUCCUACCUUCCUUCCGUCCUCCCUCCCUUCCUUCCUUCCUUCCUUCCUUCCUUCCUUCCUUCUUUUCCUUCCUUCCUUCCUUCCUUCCUUCCUUCCUUCCUUCCUUCCUUCCUUCCUUCCUUCCUUCCUUCCUUCCUUCCUUCCUUCCUUCCUUCCUUCCUUCCUUCCUUCCUUCCUUCCUUCCUUCCUUCCUUCUAAUCAUUGUCUCCCCAAUUCAUUAAUUCCCAGCCAAGAAAUUCUCUCCCACAUGGUUCACCAAUUAUUUUCUUUUAAACUAAAUUGUUUCCUUCGCAAUUUCGCAGGACCCGGUUCUGGAUCACUGUAUACCCGGUGGGGUAGAACAAAAUGUCCAAGUAAUUCCAGUCUGGUAUACGAUGGUUAGUAUAUUUUGUUUCUAAUCUCUCUCUCUAUUUCUUUCUUUCUUCUCUCUCUCUCUCUUUCUCUUCCUCUCUCUCUCUCCCUCCUUCUUUCUGAUCUACACAAACGUUUGUCCUAUUAUAGUAUAUCACGUUUUAAACGGCGAUUAUGGAUUCUCUUGAGAUUACACAAAACUACUUUCUCCGUUGAGUUUAUUUGGUGAUAGCCGAAGUAUAAAUGCCGUCAAGAAUGAUCACACGAACAGGAUAUCAUCGAAAGUACCCCCAUGAACCCAACCAAAGAAUAUAGUUACCUGAGGACUGUAUGCAUUAUCUACGCACCAUUCCACUACUUAAUCUCGAUAGUGCCUCAUGGUAAGGCAAUUCUGAGCUUUCCACUCAGAAGACACUAUUUUCCACCUCUUCCCCAUCAACUUUUCUUUCUUUAAAUGAGAUUUGUUUUUGCUUGAAAUACGAUGGAACAGAUUUUACCUGUCUGUAACCGAACCCUUCACGGUUUCAUUAAAUGUUUCCCUAUUCAGCCUAAACUGAACCUUACAAUCCUUUCUCCACUGACUUUCCUUAAGACGUAAAAUAACCCCAGUGAUGCAGCAAAUAAAGCCAACGUGACCAUAACGUGUAUCUUCACGUGACCUGUCCACGACUAGCCGAGAGUUUCAGCUACGCUGUGCAGGAUGUUCCGUUAAAUAACUUUUAACUACCCAUCGACUGUCAAUACUCUGCACCUCACCGGGUUCUUCUAUUUUAUAUUGGCUAAAAAUUCCUUGUAUCGUUAUUCUAUUUUAUCUCGUCUUUUCCAUUUUAGAGGAAAUGCGUGACGUAACGGCCUUCCCUUCACACUCUUUUGACAUCUGCACACAACCAUCUACAGCCAUGUAUCUAGACAUAUUCACAAAUAUUACCUACACAAACACGUUGGCGUACACCUACAACAUAUAUACAUAUAAAUCAUAGACACGUACAGUUCUUAACUCAUACACAAACAUUCAUUCAGCAACACGGCUUACACACGCAUCGAUAGUAGUUUCUAUACACAUCCUACACACGUAAACAUAGUGAAUGUUCAAACACAUAGACACACGCACACGCGCACACACAUAGACACAAAUACACACACACACACACACAUAAACUCAAUCACACUCACAGACACACACACACACACACACACACACACACACACACACACACACACACACACGUAUGUGUGUGUAUAUAUAAUCGCCAAUUUAAAAUUGAAAUUUCCUUUUCAAGUAUUCCUUAUAAUCCGCGUUUUUCUGAUUUCGAUUAAAUUUUAUUUUAUAUAUUUGAUUUAUUCUUACCAAUUCUAGGUGUGGUUGGUGGACCAGCGCAUAACGAAACAGGCAGCGGAAGUAAUCUCUUAUGUCUACCUAACGACCCCAUUUGGGCCAAUUACAAUGGAGGAGUUACAAGUUGGGGUCACAUGUAUGGCAGUGAAUAUGAAACAUCAAAUUCCGAUGCGAAAAAACUCUUUUCUUUUGCUAACGCUGAAUCAAUUCAUGAUCACAACGUUCCGUGUGCUGUCUGUUUGACACGACAACCUGCUGUUGUUAUGAUGUUACCAGCCAGGACAAAGUGUUACGAUGGUUGGACAGCUGAGUAUUCAGGAUAUUUAAUGACCGAGCAUUAUAGUCAUAAAGGCAGACAUGAAUAUGUGUGUGUGGACUAUGCACCAGAAGCUGAUCCGGCGGGUUACAGAAACGAAAAUGGAGCCUUAUUAUAUUUUGUGAAGGGAAUUUGUGGUUCAUUGCCCUGUCCACCAUAUGUCUAUGGUCGUAUAUUAACCUGCGUUGUGUGCAGUAAAUAUUGAAGGGAAUAUAGUUGAAUUUGCUUCUCUAUGAAAACUUAUGUUAACCAAUUACAAGACAUAAUAUAAUAUCAUAAAACAAUAUAGACAUUUUAAAUUCUGUUUGAUAAUAUUUUAUCGAAGUUAUAUAAAUCGUUAAAAUACUCUGCGCUACUAGUUGACAGAAAAAUAUUAUAAUGGAGAGAAAACCGGCGCCAGAGAAUGUGAGAAUUAUGCUUAUAGAACAAUGCAAAGCUGAAUGAAUAAUUCUAGAUAAACAUUGUAUAAGGAUCAGUUCAUAAAACUAAAAUGUGGAAAUAAAAUUGUAUUUCGUUUAACUGUAUUUUGUGUUCUGUCUUAAAUAUCAAUAAACCCCACUUGAAGUAAUAUCAUAGAAAUAUAUGAUGGUUCCAUCAUUUUUGAGAGGAAUGUAAGUAGUAAUCCUCUCACCACCUAUUUUGUUUUUACCUGUCUCUAUACCACCUCGUGACCCCACCACAAGUUUAGUUGACAUCCUCAUAACCGGAACACGUAACCCUCACCCGUUGCACCAUUUCCUAAACGGCAAAAGGACGUAGAAAGAUAAUGAGGGUAAGCAAAGUUACUCUGUGUAAACUGUGUGAUAUGUUGAGACUGUUACACCACAUCCAAUAAGAAACAUCACUAUGUGUUAGUGUAGAAUAUUCCUUAGAUUAAAGAGAAGAAGAUGGAUAUUUGGGAGACACAACGUCUUUCAUGCAAGUAAUUGAGUGCCAUAAGGUUGCCAUUAAGAAAAUGCAUGUAUUUAGACAUUUAUAAUAGGAAGCAACUUAAAGGUAUACAUGUGUGUGUGCUUAACCCAAUAAGCUUUUUGCAAAAUCAGACCGCCAGUGACUAUAACGGCAAAGCAAUCAAGAAUGGAAUCUGGUUUUCAUGGGACACCCUGCAGGACGAUAAAAAAUCCUGUCAAAGGAGAAGUCAAUUAAGCCGAGUCAUCGUUCAUUGAACAAAUUGGGGCGAGAGACUCUUGAGCGAUUUUGUUGUUAGAAUGUCUUUCAAGGAGAGGUUAAAGUCGUAUAUAAAACCCUGCUGUGCAAUUGGGUUCCUGGUUGCUUCCACUUCGUUUGUGCCCCUGGUGUUGGUACAGCACAUCUGUUUAUCCACUGAAAACAAAUUUAAGCCUAGGAUCAUUUUGGAUUCUUGGAACGGUACAUGGUGGAUCAAAAUGGCCAACGGCAAUGGAAAAGUAAUGAAUGAUACAAACUUUAAAAGCUGGGAAGUUGUAAAUAUUUUAAUCCAAGUACGGAUUUGGUUGCGUCACCUUAUGUGAUAAUAUUUGAUAAUAAAGGCAUUCAGUGACUGGGCGGCACAUUUCAGUCAGCGCAAUCACUGCUCACCUUCUAGCGGAUGGGUCCGAGAAAAGGUGGUUUAAAGAAAGUUUACCACUACCAAACAGUCCAGGAGUUCGAGGGUGUUUACUGUUCACUCAUGCGGGUGUAAUACACCCAUCCGACUAACAUCAUUGUCUGUCAUGGGUGAGUCCUGAAUAGCCCCAUGUAACCAAAGGUGGAAUAACUGAUUAUAGUAAAUAGGAACUGAGAGACAGUUGGCGGUGUUAGUUCAACAAUAGUUUAUGGAACAGUGUAUGCUGGGUAUCGGACUUACGUUCGAGUAGCGCAGAGUGCGUUUUGUGUUGACAUAUAUUUCUGCGAUAGGUUACUUUUAGAUAGUCACAACCAACAAUUUAUUUGUUUAAUACCAUUAUACACUAGACGUGUAUAACUACGUCAUAACAUUUUUAGCGACGAAGUUAUUCGAAGCUCAUACCGGACCGAUUUGUCUCUUCACAUGAGAGCUUUACUAGCCUCGGUAAUUUAAUGACAGCAACAAAACCAGCAAAAGCAAUAAAGAUAAUGGCAACAGUCGUUGGAAUUUGGGAAGUAACAUCAAUUUUUAGUACAACUGAUACAGAAGAAAUGAGAAAAUUCAUCUGAUUCGUUCAUCCCUGUCCCUGUCGCAAAACUUGAUUGGAGGGUUCGCACAUAAGCCAGAGGAAGGUACAACCUUCCCUGCUUACUUUUGAAGAUAUAAGAACAUUUUUACAGAAGAAUGCUGUACCUGGCAAGACGAGAAAACACUGGACUUUUGUUGAGAAAGCUGGCACCAGCCGAGUAUGUGAAAUAUUGAAAUUAUAUAUUAUGAAAGAAACUGAGUGAAAUCUGUUUUGAAGAAACGGUGAAUAUUCUAUCAAAGAUUUUCAACCAAAAAUGCUUAAUAGCGAAUGCGAAAGAUUUAAAAUUAAUGAAUCAACAUCAGAUAUGUUUAAAAGCUUAAUUUAUUUUCUUUCAAGUUUUAAGUGCCAAGAAAGUUGCAGGAAUUCGAAACAGAAUAUUGACUAAAUUAGUGCAGGAUGAGAAGCAAACACGACAAGAAAUAUCUGAGGAAUAGCAGAGAAUGAUGAACCUAUUGCACGAUAUGAAGAAACUGAAGGAAGGAACUGCUCCAGUACACAGUGGAUAUACAAUUUACAUUGGAUAGGGUACUUUGGUGUGUAUAUGUCUGAAUAAAUGCAACUGCAUAAGUAUACACACACACACACAUAUAUAUAUGUAUGUAUAAAUAUAUACAUACACACAUACAUACAUACAUAUAUAUAUAUAUAUAUAUAUAUAUAUAUAUAUAUAUAUCUUACAUAAGAUUUCUGAAAGUCCGUUUAAGUUAGUUUAUUUGGAUUUUGAAAUUAGCUAUUUCUUCUUUAAAUAUGAAAAAUUAAAUUUAUUAGGUUUUUAUUAUAUACAAUUAUUUAUAGAGAUUAUUUUACAUCUUGAUUAUAAUAUUUAUAUAUAUAUUUUCAUUGAUAAUAUAUAUAUAUUAGUCAUUUUAAAUAUUUAUGUAAUUAGAUAUAGACUAAUAUUGAUAUUAGAUUAUGGGUUUCCUACCUUAUGAAUUAAAAUUAAUAUUUAACAUUAUAGUCGAUUUGGAUAUAAUCAUAUUUGAUAAUAGAGUUUAUUAUAAGUAAAAUUAUUAUAUUAUAUAUAUUAUUUAUAUCUUAAAAAAUAUUGAUUAUAUUUUAGAUAUUUAAACCACCUGAUGAACGACUGUAACUCGAAAAUUUAAAGAAAUUAACAGCCAUGAAACGACCGUAGUGUUAUACUCUUUACUCUUUUCCUCUUUUACUUGUUUCAGUCACUUGACUGCGGCCAUGCUGGAGCACCACCUUUUAGUACUUAUUCUAUCGGUCUCUUUUUGCCGAACCGCUAAGUGACGGGGACCUAAACACACCAGCAUCGGUUGUCAAGCAAUGCUAGGGGGACAAACACAGACACACAAACACACACACAUACACAUAUAUAUACAUAUAUACGACAGGCUUCUUUCAGUUUCCGUCUACCAAAUCCACUCACAAGGCAUUGGUCGGCCCGGUGCUAUAGCAGAAGACACUUGCCCAAGAUGCCACGCAGUGGGACUGAACCCGCAACCGUGUGGUUGGUUAGCAAGCUAUUUACCACACAGCCACUCCUGCGCCUAUAUUAAUUAUAUUUUUUUAAAUAAUUUUGUUAUAUAUUUAAAUAAUAUAAAUUAAAUAAUCUUAUGUAUUGGCUUAAGUUUUUCAUUGUAUGAUUUGCCUAAUAGUGGUUUUAUCUCUAAUUUAAUAUUAUAUAAUAUUUUACUAUAAAAUUGUAUUCAAUCCUAAAUCUGAUUUUUCCCUGUAAGUUUGGAUUUAUUCCCUAAUAUUUAUUAUUAAUUAAUAUAUUGAUAAAUUACGUAUAUUGAGUGUAACAUCUCAACUUCGUAAUUAUGGAAUUUACAGGUAAGAUAGAACCGCUAUUUUGGAAUUCAUCAUUGAAGGAUAUUCCAGUACCUUCUAGAAAGGAAUUUAUUUUGAAACUUAUUAAUAAUAUUAAGGAUUUUUUUCUAGAAUUAAAUGGAAAGCUUACUAUUAUAACUAUAAUAUAUCUAAUCUCAAUGAUAGUAUGAAUGAUAAUUUUACCUCUAAUUUUAAAUCCAAAAAGGAACCCCAUUUAAUAGAGAAUUACAAAGACUAGAAGAUAAUAUUUGGAAGGUGGUGAAAAACAUUAAAUUUCAUAAAUACCCAAACAGAAAUAAUGAAUCUUUAAGAAAUUUAGCAAUUAGAAUAAAAGAAAUGAGAAAUAUGGAUGGUAUUAUUGUACAAUCUGAUAAAACUAGGAAUCUCUAUAAAUUAGAUGUUGAAUUAUAUGAUAACCUUUUAGAGAAAGAAAUAAUUAAAAAAUAUAAAAUUGUUCCAGAUAGUAAACUUUAUAAUAUUAAUAAGGCCUCUAAAUUAGUAAUGAUAAACUAUGAAUUGGAUAAUAAAACUGAACCUUAUGUACCUAUGCACCCUAGAAUUACUCUGAAAGACCAUUAAGAUAAUUUUUAUUCAGACCCUAAAGUUUAAUUUGUCCAUGUAAAUGUGACCUCGGUAAAUUAAGUAAACUUAUUUUAGAUAAAUAUAUUAAGAAAUUAAAUAAACUUAAUUACUUAAAAUUAUGGUUUAGUAAUGAUAAUACUUUGAAUUGGCUUAAUAAUAUUAAAGAUAAAAAUCGAUAUAAAUUUAUUCAAAUAGAUAUAGUUAAUUACUAUUCUUCUAUUAAUGAAAUUGUGUUUAAUAAGGCCCUUAUUUUUGCAAUGAAUAAAGUGGGAAUGACAUUUGAAGAAGUUAAUGUAAUUAAAAUGGCUAGGAAAUCGCUUAUUAAAUAUAAAAAUAAAUUAUGGGCCAGGAAAGAUACUAGGGAUUUUUUUGAUAUACCUAUGGGAGCACCUGAUUCUGCACAAGCUACGGAUUUAGUAGGUAUUUAUCUUUUAUCUGAACUCCAAUUAGAAAAUUUAAAAAUAGAGGGUAGUUUAUAUAGGGAUGACCUUCGACUAAUUACUAAGAAUUGCACUAAUAGGAACCUAGAAGUAUAUAAGAAAAAACUUUAUAGUUUCUUUAAAAGAUAUGGUUUAAGUAUCACUAUAUAUAAUGAGAAUUUUAAUGUUAAUUAUUUCGAUGUUAAUUUUAAUCUAAUUACAGGUAAAACACAACCAUAUCAUAAACUUAAUGAGAACCUUAGAUAUAUAAACGUUAAUAGUAAUCACCCACCAUCAAUUAAAAAAUCGUUGAUUAAUAAUAUAAGUAAACGUAUAUCAUUACUUUCUUAUGAUUUAGAGAUUUUUAAUAAACAUGCUCCUUAUUAUAAUGAGGCCCUUAGAGAGGCAGGGUAUAAUAGUAAUAUUAAAUUUUUUAUUAAAAAUAAAGAUAAAGAUAUAACUAAUAAUAUUAGAGAUAAAAAUAUUAAUAAUAGUAAUAAUAAUUUUGUUAGUAAUAGUGGUAAUAAUAUUAGAAAUUAUAAAAAUAAAAAUAAAAUAAAUAAAAAUAAGAAUAAAAAUAAAAAUAAAAAUAAAAUUAAUAACUUCAAUAAUUCUUUAAAUGUUAAUUAUAAAUAUAAAUCUGAUAAUAAUAAUAUAAAUAUGAUAAAGAAAUAUAAUAACAACAAUAAUAAUGACAGUUUUAGUAAUAAGAAGAAGGAAAAUUAGAAUAAAAUUUGGUUAAUAGUUCCUUAUGGUGCUCAAGUUAAAACGAACAUUAUUAAAGAGAUUUUAGAUAUUAUUGAACUAUUUAUUCGAGAUAAUCGUAAAUAUAAAAACAUUUUCUCUAGUAAUAAUUUUGGAGUAGGUUAUUCCACCACUAAUAGUGUAGGUAACAUUAUUUCUUCUUUUAACAAAUUUAAACUGAAUAAUUUUUAUAAAAAUAAAGUAUAUAAUAAUACCAAUAAUAAAGACAAGACACUAAUUAACUGUGCAUGUAGAGAUAAAACUAAAUGUAAAUUAAAUAAUAAAUGUGAUACUAAUGAUGUAGUGUAUAAAUGUAUAGUUACAUUACAUGAUAAGAAUAAUAAGAAUAAUUAUAACUCAAACGCAUUAUAUAUAUAGGGUCCACUUCCUCUAAAAUAAAAUUAAGAAUCGCACAACAUAUGAAUUCAUUUAAAAAUAAAAACUUAAUUAACUCCACUGGACUUAGCAAGUACAUUUGGAGACUUAAAUUCCAAAAUAUUAAUUAUAAUUUAUCUUGGGAAAUAAUUAGUAAAACUAAAUCAUAUACUAUAGGAGCGAAUUUUUGUUAUUUAUGUUCUAAUGAGUUUAAGGAAAUUUUAUUUUAUAAGCAUGAUAAUUUACUGAAUAGCUGUGAUGAGCGCAAAAUAAAAUGCAGACACAAGUUACUUUACUUAUAUAAUAAAUUUCUUGAUAAAUAAUGAUUAUUUCUUAGCCUUAAUUAGCUCCCUAUUUGUUGUUUUAUGUAAUAGUAUUAUAAAUAUACCAGGUGAUUUGUAGUAUUUAUUAUAUUAGUUUAUUUUAGUUAUUUAGGUUCUGUUUUUAAUUAUAGUUAGAUUAUAGAUGGUUGUUGAUUUUAUUACUAAAUAUUUUAUUACUAAAUAUAUUUUUAAUAAAUAUUUAAUGGUUUAUUGAAUAUAGAGUCUGGUAAGUUACAAUUUUAUUUAUUUUAUAUAUUUUGUUAUAUUUCUAUUAUAACUUCGUUAAAUUAUAAUUUUGUUAUAUUAAUCAAUUUGUAUGUAAUCUCUUUAUAUUUGAAAUAGUUUUAUUUAGUUGUUUAUUUAAUCCAUAUUAUUUAAUAUAGAAGUAUAGAUUAGUAGAUUAAUAUUUUAGAUUUAACUUAAUAUUUACCUCUAUUUUGUAUUGUAGUAUGAUUAUAGACAUUUAUAUAUCUAUUUAUUUAUAAUAUAUGUGGAUGUGUGUGUAUGUAUAUAUGUGUAUAUGAUGAUGUAUAUAUAUAUAUAUAUAUAUAUAUAUAUAUAUGUAUACGAUUUAUUUAUAUGUAUGUGUGUGGGUGUGUAUAUAUUGGUGUAAGUGUAUAUAUUGAGUAUUGUAUGUAUGUACAUGUAUGUAUGAGUGUGCAUAUGUGUAUGGGUGUAAGUGUGUGUAUGUUAUGUGUGUAUAUAUGUAUAUGAAUGUAUGUGUGUAUGUAUGUGUAUAUGUGUAUGUAUAUGUAUAUGUAUGUAUAUAUGUAUAUAUAUAUGUAUAUAUAUAUGUAUAUAUAUAUGUAUGUAUAUUUUCUUAUAUAUUUAUGUAUACGUAUGUAUAGUUAUACUACAAAUUUUGAUAAGUAUUUAUAGAUUUGUUAUGAUCACUAAUUUUGCUUAUGAUUAUAAGGGCAUGGGAAAGAAUUUAUAGUAUGUAGAGGGGUUAUUAUAUAAAUUAAUUUUUAUGUAUUUAUUAAUCUUAUAAGAUUUUUAGAAUAUAUUUAAUAAUUAGUGGUUUUUAAUCAUUUAAAUCAUUUAAUUUAUUUUGUAUUAAGUUUCAUUUAUCAUAGUUAUUUUAUUAAUAAAUAUUAUAGUAUAGAGAGAUUUCAUUCUUUAUUUGUGAAUUCAUUCUUUUUACAAUGAUAAACAUAUAAUUUUCCAUUCAUAAUCUUUAAUAAACGUAGGUUCCUCGCGCGUAAUGAAUUCUUCAACAAUAUAUUCUUUUUUUUUGCUAAUAACGUAAUUCCAUGAGUAUUCUUAUAAACGCUGUAAAAGACGUUUUUUGAUUCAAAAUUUUAGUUCAUUGAUUAAACCUCGCCAAGUUAAGUAUGUAUUUAUUUAAGAUCUUCAAAUUGUAAAUUUUAAUAUUGUAUAAGCCUUUGGAGUAAUAAUAUUCUCCUUAUGUAAAUAUCGCUGUUUACGUAAUGAUCUAAUUAUCGUAAGUUUCUAUAUUAUUAGAUAUUAAAUUUAAGUUUAUUCGUAAGAUACUUUUUAGUGAUAGAUUUAUUAUUUGAUAGCAAGCAUACUAGGUGUAUUAAGUUAGGCUUUGUAUAUACACGUUUUAAUAGUAUUAAUUGUAGUUUUAAAUUUAUAAUCAAAUUAGAUAAACUUUGAUAAAUUUAGAUAUGUUUCGACUAUAGAUUGGUCUAGGCCAUGACUAAUUUAAUAGCAUAACUUAGUUAUUUCUUUAAAUUUAUAUUAGAUAAUUAUUCCCAUUCAUAAUUAUAUUUAUAGUACUUAUAGUAUUUAUUCGAUACUAUAUUGCUAAGAAUUGAUUAUUUCUAAAAGUAUUUUACAUAAGAUUUCUGAAAGUCCGUUUAAGUUUGUUUAUUUGGAUUUUGAAAUUAGCUAUUUCAUCUUUAAAUAUGAAAAAUUAAAUUUAUUAGGUUUUUAUUAUAUACAAUUAUUUAUAGAGGUUAUUUUAGAUCUUGAUUAUAAUAUUUAUAUAUAUAUUUUCAUUGAUAAUUUAUAUAUAUUAGUCAUUUUAAAUAUUUAUGUAAUUAGAUAUAGACUAAUAUUGAUAUUAGAUUAUGGGUUUCCUACCUUAUGAAUUAAAAUUAAUAUUAAACAUUAUAGUCGAUUUGGAUAUAAUCAUAUUUGAUAAUAGAGUUUAUUAUAAGUAAAAUUAUUAUAUUAUAUAUAUUAUUUACAUCUUAAAAAUAUUGAUUAUAUUUUAGAUAUUUAAACCACCUAAUGAAUGACUGUAACUCGAAAAUUUAAAGAAAUUAACAGCCAUGAAACGAUCGUAGUGUUAUAUUAAUAAUAUUUUUUUAAUAAUUUUGUUAUAUAUUUAAAUAAUAUAAAUUAAAUAAUCUUAUGUAUUGGCUUAGGGUUUUCAUUGUAUGACUUGCCUAAUAGUGGUUUUAUCUCUAAUUUAAUAUAAUAUAAUAUUUUACUACAAAAUUGGAUUCAAUCCUAAAUCUGAUUUUACACUGUAAGUUUGGAUUUAUUCCCUAAUAUUUAUUAUUAUUAUAUGUAUGUAUAUAUAUAUUUAUAUAUAUAUAUAUAUAUAUAUAUAUAUAUAUAUAUAUAUAUAUAUAUAUAUAUAUAUAUAUAUAAAUAUAUAUACAUAUAUAUAUAUAUAUAUAUACAUAUAUAUAUAAAUAUAUAUACAUAUAUAUAUAAAUAUAUAUACAUAUAUAUAUAAAUAUAUAUACAUAUAUAUAUAAUAUAUAUAUAUAUAUAUAUAUAUAUAUAUAUAUAUAUAUAUAUAUACAUAUAUAUAUAAAUGCCAGGUCGAGCAUCUCCUUGCUAGCGAAAGUCAUGCCCCCUCAAAUGAUUCUGUAAACUACGAAACAAAUGGUAGUCUGAAGGAGGAAGAUCGGGAGAAUAAGGUGGAUGAGGAAUUUUUCCCAACCAACCUCUUCGAUCUUCUGUGGUAUGAUGUUUGCAUAAGAAGAAAAGACCCCUUUACCAAGCUACUGCUUACGACGUUUAACAUUUCGAUAGAAGAUCCAUUUUUCGUCACCAGUCACAAGUCUAUCCAAAAAGGGUGAAAUGAGUUCGCGAGAAUGGAGAGAAGAGCAGAUGUCAACUGGGCACUUGCGGUUGCUUUCGGACAAUUCCUGAGGUACCCAUAUUCCAACUUUUGGAACCUUUCCAAGUUGUUGAAGAUGACAAUGAACAAUUGUCUGGCUUGAAAUAAGCUUUAUUGCCAAUUCUUCAACUAAAAAUGAAGGAUUUUCUUCAGGUAAGGCCUCAUGGGAAUUAUCACUAAACUCACCUGGACGUCGUGUUCGAUCCUCAUCUUCUAGGCUGAAAUUUCCACUUCUGAAAUUUGCAAACCAUCUUCUGCAAGUUCUUCCAUUCAAGCAUUCUUUCCCAUAAACCGAGUGUAUGUUUCGAGUCGCUUCGUUUGCAGAGUUUCCUUUUCUUUUGUACUUAUAAAGAAUUUGGUGCUUCAGAUGUUCUUUGGAUACUUCCACGUUAGAAAGGGUUUUAAUCAAAGAAAUUUUACUUUUAUUAUUCUGCAAAAUAAUAUUUAUUUAGUAAAUAUACAAAUGCAUAAAUAUGUUUUUUAAUUCCAUUAGACAUUCUAAAAUAUUAUAUUUCAUUCGAUUUAAAAGAGAAAAAUCGGACAGAACUUAUGGGAUGACCUGAUACACACACAUAUACAGACACUCACAGAAACACACACACACACACACACAGACACGCACAGACACACACAGACAAACACACAGACACACACACUGACACACACAUCACACACACUCACACUCAUAUAUAUGUACAUAAACAACAUCCGGGAGUGGGAAACCAGGGUACCAAAGUUACUGUGAUUUGAGGGCUGUGGAAGCACAUCUUACCCCUUUGUUCCCAGAUGUAACCUGACCCAGGUUAGUAGCACAUGUUAGGGUCCCAGCUAGGAUCCUAGUCUAGGAAAAGAAAUCCUCGAUAUAAAACCACUGUAGCGCUGGAUCUGUCGUGCAGACCUUGAUUAUAUCUGAUGUACCCGGUAGCACGCUGCAUCCACCCCAACCAAAUCUAGUUUAUCCCCAAUCCCUAUUGUGCUACUGUUGAGGGCAGGUGGCUACGUGCGGGAGCGCUGUAAUCUCUGGAUAUGAUUCACACGAAAUAAAAUCAUCUUUCAGUCAGUGUCGCUCGCUACAGAUUAGUCAUUCGGGUACAAGUAAAUUCCGACUACGACUCAUAUACAGUGAGGCCCCACCCGGCUGUUCUCGGUGUCCUACAUGUUGGAAUACCUGCAUUCUAACGGAUUCUAGAAUUAUAUGAAACUAACACACACACACACACACACGCGCGCACACACACACACACACACACACACACACACACACACACACACACACACACACACACACACACACAGAAUACAUUUUGAUUAUCAUAAAUUUAUCGUCAGCAGAAAUAUUCUAAUAAGAUUAAGUGUAAAUAAAAUGGAAUAAUCUUUAACAUCAGGUUUGUUAUGAAGUAACCAAUAAAAACACUAGACUGCAUUAAAUAAAGCUUUGCAGUUACAGUCUGUACAGAUGUUGAACGGACAAUGUAGUCCCCUACAUGAAUAUUACAGCAGUUUCGCAAAAAUAAAGAAGUAAACAUUAAGAAAUAAUAAAUAAGAAUUCUUCAACAAAUUGGCAUUUGUUUUCAGUUUACAAAUUUGUGCUGAAGUCAGUAAAAUAUUCUGCUGACUGUUCUGUGUUAAUCAUGGAUCAUCUCCAUCCAAUCACAAAAGGUGUCAUUUAAAAGGUGACACCCACAAUUAUUGUAAUAUCAAUCUGAUUGGUUCCUGAAUUUACGAUUAGAUUUUCGGCAGGGUUGGGUUGUGGAGGGGGAACAAUAUUAAAAAGCCGGAAUCAGACGUCAACAAUUUUCAGUUACGAUCCCAAAGCGAGAAGCUCACACUUAUAAACUCCAGCUUACAUCAACUUCAGAUUUAUCAUUAAACCAAAACGAAGUAACAGGCUGCACGGACGACCGAAAACCGCAAUGGAAAUCGCUCAGGUGGGGAAGAUCAUUUGGCAGCGGUUUUCCGUUUCUUCUUUCAUAACUUUUGGACUGUGUCUCGUGUUGACCAUCACGAUUCUUCAUUUCGAUGCAAGGACCAGAAAGAUAGAAGAAAAAUCAACCGCAA